Molecule: ribosomal RNA, 549 nt
Filed under: Prochlorococcus marinus CUG1432
Lineage: Bacteria; Bacillati; Cyanobacteriota; Cyanophyceae; Synechococcales; Prochlorococcaceae
Description: bacterial SSU rRNA
Rfam family: Bacterial small subunit ribosomal RNA
Source: RNAcentral
ACCAGGGCUUAAAUGCAGUACGACAGGUCUAGAGAUAGACUUUUCUUCGGACGGAUUGCAAGGUGCUGCAUGGUUGUCGUCAGCUCGUGCCGUGAGGUGUCAGGUUAAGUCCUAUAACGAGCGCAACCCCUGUUGUUAGUUGCCAGCGAGUCAAGUCGGGAACUCUAACAAGACUGCCGGUGCAAACCGUGAGGAAGGUGGGGACGACGUCAAAUCAUCACGGCCCUUACGUCCUGGGCUACACACGUGCUACAAUGGCCGGUACAGAGGGAAGCCACCCCGCAAGGGGGCGCGGAUCUACAAAACCGGUCACAGUUCGGAUCGGGGUCUGCAACUCGACCCCGUGAAGCUGGAAUCGCUAGUAAUCGGAUAUCAGCCAUGAUCCGGUGAAUACGUUCCCGGGCCUUGUACACACCGCCCGUCAAGCCAUGGAAGCCGGGAGUGCCUGAAGUCCGUCACCGCAAGGAGCGGCCUAGGGCAAAAUCGGUAACUAGGGCUAAGUCGUAACAAGGUAGCCGUACCGGAAGGUGCGGCUGGAACACCUCCUUU